GCAUGCAGCCGAGCGCGAACCGUAGCAAUACGGGGAGAGCGGCAAACGGGGUAGGAAGGAUUGGUGACGUACCCUUCGGACGGGGAUAGCCACGGGAAACUGUGGGUAAUACCCGAUAACCUCCUGGGUUUGAAUACUCAGGUGCAAAGGUGUGAUUCCACCGGAGGAGCGGCCAAUUUGACAUCAGCUAGUUGGUGAGGUAACGGCUCACCAAGGCUACGACGUCUAGGGGGUGUGAGAGCAUGGCCCCCACCACUGGGACUGAGAUACUGCCCAGACACCUACGGGUGGCUGCAGUCGAGAAUCUUCGGCAAUGGACGAAAGUCUGACGGAGCGACGCCGCGUGCGGGAUGAAGGCCCUUGGGUUGUAAACCGCUGUCAGAGGGGAUGAAAUCUUCGGAGGUACUCCUCCGAAGUUGACAGAGCCUCAAAGGAAGCACGGGCUAAGUACGUGCCAGCAGCCGCGGUAACACGUACUGUGCGAACGUUAUUCGGAAUCACUGGGCUUAAAGGGUGCGUAGGCGGCGAUUCAAGUCAGAUGUGAAAUGCCUGAGCUCAACUGAGGCAUUGCGUUUGAAACUGAAUUGCUAGAGUAUCCUAGGGGUGUGCGGAACUGCCAGUGGAACGGUGAAAUGUGUUGAUAUUGGCAGGAACACCGGAGGCGAAAGCGGCACACUGGGGGAUAACUGACGCUGAGGCACGAAAGCCAAGGGAGCGAACGGGAUUAGAUACCCCGGUAGUCCACGCCGUAAACGAUGGAUGCUAGCCGUCGGCAAGCUUGCUUGUCGGUG
Molecule: ribosomal RNA, 791 nt
Filed under: uncultured bacterium
Lineage: Bacteria
Description: bacterial SSU rRNA
Rfam family: Bacterial small subunit ribosomal RNA
Source: RNAcentral